AGUUUGAUUAUGGCUCAGAUUGAACGCUGGCGGCAUGCUUAAUACAUGCAAGUCGAACGGCAGCGGGGGAGAGCUUGCUCUCCUGCCGGCGAGUGGCGGACGGGUGAGUAACGCGUGGGGAUCUGCCUGACAGUGGGGGAAAAACCGGGAGAGAGAUAGAGGCUAAUACCGCAUACGUCCUGAGGGGGAAAGCGGGCUCUUCGGGAGUUUGCGCCUGGUCAGAUGAAGCCCACCGUCCGAUUAGCUUGGGUGGGUAGGGUAAAAGGCCAACAAAGGCGACGAAUCGGUACUUGGCUCGAAAGGGGAUAAUUCGCCCCCCUUGGGACAUGAAACCGGCCCCGACCCCCACCGGGGGGACCAGGGGGGAAAUUGGCACAGUGGGGAACCCGAGCCCACAUUUCCCGGGGGUAAAAACCCCGCGUUUUUAAACCUUCUCGGGGA
RNAcentral lists this ribosomal RNA (441 nucleotides) under uncultured Pseudomonadota bacterium. RNAcentral's name for it is "uncultured proteobacterium partial 16S ribosomal RNA". It matches the Rfam family "Bacterial small subunit ribosomal RNA", at positions 10 to 442 of the family's 1533-position model. The record is from RNAcentral. Lineage: Bacteria; Pseudomonadati; Pseudomonadota.